UCUUUUUAAUUCCACUAGUAGGCAGGUCCUAUGAACUUUGACUCAGGAAGUGGCGUAACUCGCGCUCGUCUCAUAUUUCAUCCAAUUUUAGGUUUUUUAUGUAAAGCAGCGAAAAUGUUUUCCUACUAAAUGUAUGGUAUCCUCUAUCUUUGGACCUAUCAUUCGAUCCGUUGAACCCAUAGCCUAUGACAGCUAUCAAGCUUGGAGUUGUCCCUAGAUACUCUAUAUUGGUUUUGGGGGAAAGAGUAUCAGAACUUUAAGCUGGAACGCUCUUAUCUGGAAAAAGUGUUCUACCCUAACCCUAAC
RNAcentral lists this long non-coding RNA (306 nucleotides) under Gossypium barbadense (sea-island cotton). RNAcentral describes it as "long non-coding RNA (GBAR_LNC014912)". Lineage: Eukaryota; Viridiplantae; Streptophyta; Magnoliopsida; Malvales; Malvaceae. The record is from RNAcentral.